CAUGCAAGUCGAGGGGAAACGAUAUUGGAAGCUUGCUUCCGAUAGGCGUCGACCGGCGCACGGGUGAGUAACGCGUAUCCAACCUGCCCACCACUUGGGGAUAACCUUGCGAAAGUAAGACUAAUACCCAAUGACGUCUCUAGAAGACAUCUGAAAGAGAUUAAAGAUUUAUCGGUGAUGGAUGGGGAUGCGUCUGAUUAGCUUGUUGGCGGGGUAACGGCCCACCAAGGCUACGAUCAGUAGGGGUUCUGAGAGGAAGGUCCCCCACAUUGGAACUGAGACACGGUCCAAACUCCUACGGGAGGCAGCAGUGAGGAAUAUUGGUCAAUGGACGAGAGUCUGAACCAGCCAAGUAGCGUGCAGGAUGACGGCCCUAUGGGUUGUAAACUGCUUUUAUAAGGGAAUAAAGUGAGUCUCGUGAGACUUUUUGCAUGUACCUUAUGAAUAAGGACCGGCUAAUUCCGUGCCAGCAGCCGCGGUAAUACGGAAGGUCCGGGCGUUAUCCGGAUUUAUUGGGUUUAAAGGGAGCGUAGGCCGGAGAUUAAGCGUGUUGUGAAAUGUAGACGCUCAACGUCUGCACUGCAGCGCGAACUGGUUUCCUUGAGUACGCACAAAGUGGGCGGAAUUCGUGGUGUAGCGGUGAAAUGCUUAGAUAUCACGAAGAACUCCGAUUGCGAAGGCAGCUCACUGGAGCGCAACUGACGCUGAAGCUCGAAAGUGCGGGUAUCGAACAGGAUUAGAUACCCUGGUAGUCCGCACGGUAAACGAUGGAUGCCCGCUGUUGGUCUGAAUAGGUCAGCGGCCAAGCGAAAGCAUUAAGCAUCCCACCUGGGGAGUACGCCGGCAACGGUGAAACUCAAAGGAAUUGACGGGGGCCCGCACAAGCGGAGGAACAUGUGGUUUAAUUCGAUGAUAC
RNAcentral lists this ribosomal RNA (916 nucleotides) under uncultured bacterium. RNAcentral's name for it is "bacterial SSU rRNA". It matches the Rfam family "Bacterial small subunit ribosomal RNA", at positions 54 to 960 of the family's 1533-position model. The record is from RNAcentral.